AAUAUUGGACAAUGGGCGCAAGCCUGAUCCAGCCAUACCGCGUGGGUGAAGAAGGCCUUCGGGUUGUAAAGCCCUUUUGUUGGGAAGGAAAUCCUGUCGAUUAAUACUCGGUGGAGAUGACGGUACCCAAAGAAUAAGCACCGGCUAACUUCGUGCCAGCAGCCGCGGUAAUACGAAGGGUGCAAGCGUUACUCGGAAUUACUGGGCGUAAAGCGUGCGUAGGUGGUGGUUUAAGUCUGCUGUGAAAGCCCUGGGCUCAACCUGGGAAUUGCAGUGGAUACUGGAUCACUAGAGUGUGGUAGAGGGAUGCGGAACUUCUGGUGUAGCAGUGAAAUGCGUAGAGAUCAGAAGGAACAUCCGUGGCGAAGGCGGCAUCCUGGGCCAACACUGACACUGAGGCACGAAAGCGUGGGGAGCAAAC
RNAcentral lists this ribosomal RNA (421 nucleotides) under uncultured bacterium. RNAcentral describes it as "bacterial SSU rRNA". It matches the Rfam family "Bacterial small subunit ribosomal RNA", at positions 360 to 773 of the family's 1533-position model. The record is from RNAcentral.